AAAAAGGCUCUACAGAGCCACAAAGAGUUCCAAUGAUAGAUUGG
Non-coding RNA from Ailuropoda melanoleuca (giant panda), 44 nucleotides. The record is from Rfam. NCBI's taxonomy places the organism in Eukaryota, Metazoa, Chordata, Mammalia, Carnivora, Ursidae.